UUCGGACUGCAGGCUGAAACUUGCUGCNCGAAGUUGGAAUUGCUAGUAAUCGCGGAUCAGCAUGCCGCGGUGAAUACGUUCCCGGGUCUUGUACACACCGCCCGUCACACCAUGGGAGCUGGUAACACCCGAAGUCAGUAGUCUAACCGCAAGGAGGACGCUGCCGAAGGUGGGAUUAGCGACUGGGGUGAAGUCGUAACAAGGUACC
This 208-nucleotide ribosomal RNA is filed under the name uncultured bacterium. RNAcentral's name for it is "partial 16S ribosomal RNA". It matches the Rfam family "Bacterial small subunit ribosomal RNA", at positions 1292 to 1500 of the family's 1533-position model. The record is from RNAcentral.